GAUGAAGAACGCAGCGAAAUGCGAUAAGUAGUGUGAAUUGCAGAAUUCAGUGAAUCAUCGAAUCUUUGAACGCACAUUGCGCCCUUUGGUAUUCCUUAGGGCAUGCCUGUUCGAGCGUCAUUUAAACCUUCAAGCUAAGCUUGGUGUUGGGUGACUGUCCGCUUCACGGCGGACUCGCCUCAAAAUUAUUGGCGGCCGGUACAUUGGCUUCGAGCGCAGCAGAAACGCGAACUCGGGCCCGUCGUAUUGGCUCCCAGAAGCUAUCUUCACAAUUUUGACCUCGGAUCAGGUAGGAAUACCCGCUGAACUUAAGCAUAUCAAUAAGCGGAGGA
RNAcentral lists this unclassified non-coding RNA (332 nucleotides) under soil metagenome. RNAcentral's name for it is "partial contains 5.8S ribosomal RNA, internal transcribed spacer 2, and large subunit ribosomal RNA". The stretch from base 1 to 120 matches the Rfam family "5.8S ribosomal RNA", at positions 35 to 154 of the family's 154-position model. The record is from RNAcentral.